This is a long non-coding RNA of Teleopsis dalmanni, 677 nucleotides long. RefSeq lists it as uncharacterized. The record is from RefSeq and is a predicted model, not a curated record. NCBI's taxonomy places the organism in Eukaryota, Metazoa, Arthropoda, Insecta, Diptera, Diopsidae. The transcript has 4 exons.
ACGAAAACAAAAUGUUUCCCAACAAGAAUUGCGGUUUAUUAAUAAAAUUAAAUAAAGAUAAUUAUGAGUGAUAAGCACAUGGAAAUGGGUUUACCAUUAUAUAUUUCAUUAUCAGUGAAGGACAUGAAAUGAAUAAAUUUAUCACAUCAUAUUUCAUUAUCAACCGUGUAAUAGAGACAAGUUUGUAUGGCAAUUUUAAUAAAAAUGAACUUAUGAAUGUAGAGGAAUGUUCGUCGCAACUAUCUAUUACUAUAAAUACGUAGAAGUAGUAGAAAUGGAUGGUUUCACUCCACUGUUGAACAACCCUUCUCAAAUUAAAAAUGUUUCGAAAUCCGACAUAAUAUACAGAUAAGUACUUACACAACAAUCUAAAGCAAUCAGGUCCGCGUUUCCGAAUAUACGAAAGAAAUGGAAACUUUGCAGAUUUCCAUUAUAUCCAGGGACGGACUAUCCGGGUUAAUGCAACAACCACAAACGUAAUUAAUAAAUCAAAUUGUCAAAAGGAGAUAAUCUAGAGAUGUUAAUUAAGUAAAAGUUAUACCUAGGAAUAUUUUAGAAAAAUAAACAGAUAGUGACCUAAAUAGAAUGAGAAGAAAUUAUAAAUCUCGUUACUUUUAUAAGAAACAUCGAAGAAUAAAUGUUACUAGUUUAAAAAGUAUUAAAAGUUCUGUUUUUAA